ACAAACUUGGUCAUUUAGAGGAAGUAAAAGUCGUAACAAGGUAACCGUAGGUGAACCUGCGGUUGGAUCAUUAAAAAAUUCCAACUAAAAGGGUAGUCCAUUUUGGGCUACUUCUUUUAAACACCUUUGUGAACCGUUUAUUGUCUCUGGUGGGUUAAAAGGUCGCAAGACUGGCUUAAUCGCUACCCACCUAUUUUAAACUAUUCUAAUUGUCUUUAAUUAUUUUAAUUCUUUGAAUUUAAAAACAACUUUUGACAACGGAUCUCUUGGUUCUCGCAUCGAUGAAGAACGCAGC
This 295-nucleotide unclassified non-coding RNA is filed under the name uncultured fungus. RNAcentral's name for it is "partial contains small subunit ribosomal RNA, internal transcribed spacer 1, and 5.8S ribosomal RNA". The stretch from base 1 to 73 matches the Rfam family "Eukaryotic small subunit ribosomal RNA", at positions 1759 to 1831 of the family's 1831-position model. The record is from RNAcentral. Lineage: Eukaryota; Fungi.